AUUGAACGCUGGCGGCAUGCUUUACACAUGCAAGUCGAACGGCAGCGCGGGCUUCGGCCUGGCGGCGAGUGGCGCACGGGUGAGUAAUGCAUCGGAACGUGCCCAGUAGUGGGGGAUAGCCCGGCGAAAGCCGGAUUAAUACCGCAUACGACCUGAGGGUGAAAGCGGGGGACCGAAAGGCCUCGCGCUAUUGGAGCGGCCGAUGUCGGAGUAGCGAGUUGGUGGGGUAAAGGCUUACCGAGGCGAAGAUUCGUAGCUGGUCUGAGAGGAGGACCAGCCACGAGGGGGCGACGAGACGGCCCGGACUCCAGAGGGGGGCAGCAGUGGGGAAUGUUGGAGAAGGGGGGAAACCCUGACACAGGGAGGACGCGUGAGGGAGGAAGGCCGUGGGGGGGAAAACGGCUUUUGUUCGGGAAAAAGCCCUCUGGGGUAACGCCGCGGGGGGAUGACGGUACGGUAAAAAUAAGCACGGGAUAAAUGCG
RNAcentral lists this ribosomal RNA (482 nucleotides) under uncultured bacterium. Its description in RNAcentral is "partial 16S ribosomal RNA". It matches the Rfam family "Bacterial small subunit ribosomal RNA", at positions 29 to 505 of the family's 1533-position model. The record is from RNAcentral.